GCCCCAUAGUCUGGGAUACCACUUGGAAACAGGUGCUAAUACCGGAUAAGAAAGCGGAUCGCAUGAUCAGCUUUUAAAAGGCGGCGUAAGCUGUCGCUAUGGGAUGGCCCCGCGGUGCAUUAGCUAGUUGGUAAGGUAAAGGCUUACCAAGGCGAUGAUGCAUAGCCGAGUUGAGAGACUGAUCGGCCACAUUGGGACUGAGACACGGCCCAAACUCCUACGGGAGGCAGCAGGC
This 235-nucleotide ribosomal RNA is filed under the name uncultured Lactobacillus sp. Its description in RNAcentral is "partial 16S ribosomal RNA". It matches the Rfam family "Bacterial small subunit ribosomal RNA", at positions 128 to 354 of the family's 1533-position model. Lineage: Bacteria; Bacillati; Bacillota; Bacilli; Lactobacillales; Lactobacillaceae. The record is from RNAcentral.